Bombina bombina (fire-bellied toad) is the source of this 387-nucleotide non-coding RNA. The record is from the annotation of a RefSeq genome assembly. NCBI's taxonomy places the organism in Eukaryota, Metazoa, Chordata, Amphibia, Anura, Bombinatoridae.
UCUUCUGUGAUUAUUAUGAAGACACUUCUGUGGUAUCUUUGUGUUGUCUCCUCAGUUCAAAGUGUUACUUCUCAAAUCUCUGUUGUGCAGACUGGCCAUGGCUUUCUAAAGCCAACAGAAGAACUGUCAUUGACCUGCAAAGUGACAGGUGCCUCACUGACUGACAGCUCCAAAAUAUGGUCAGUUCAAUGGGCCAAGCAAGCAACGGGUAAAGGAUUGGAGUGGCUGGGAGGCAUAUGGUAUGAUGCUGCUGCACGCUAUGCUCAGUCUAUGCAAGGACGUCUGACAGUUUCAAGAGACACAAGUAAAGGAGAAGUUUUUUUAAAACUCACUAGGAUGAAAACAGAAGAAUCUUCCACAUAUUAUUGUGCAGCUGGCACAGUGUGA